Non-coding RNA from Dipodomys ordii (Ord's kangaroo rat), 65 nucleotides. NCBI's taxonomy places the organism in Eukaryota, Metazoa, Chordata, Mammalia, Rodentia, Heteromyidae. The record is from Rfam.
GGUGGCUCAGAGGUAGAGUGCUUGCCUUGCAUGCAUGAGGUCCUGGGUUCAAUUCCUCAGCACCA